CAGGAAUCCACUAAGGGGCGGCAGGGUAGCCUAGUGGUUAGAGUGUAGGGGCGGCAGGGUAGCCUAGUGGUUAGAGUGUAGGGGCGGCAGGGUAGCCUAGUGGUUAGAGUGUAGGGGCGGCAGGGUAGCCUAGUGGUUAGAGUGUAGUGGCGGCAGGGUAGCCUAGAGGUUAGAGUGGAGGGGCGGCAGGGUAGCCUAGUGGUUAGAGUGGAGGGGCGGCAGGGUAGCCUAGUGGUUAGAGUGGAGGGGUGGCAGGGUAGCCUAGUGGUUAGAGCGUUGGACUAGUAGACCGAAAGGUUGCAAGUUCUAAUCCCCGA
Long non-coding RNA from Oncorhynchus tshawytscha (Chinook salmon), 317 nucleotides. The record is from Ensembl. NCBI's taxonomy places the organism in Eukaryota, Metazoa, Chordata, Actinopteri, Salmoniformes, Salmonidae.